Molecule: long non-coding RNA, 1578 nt
Organism: Apteryx owenii (little spotted kiwi)
Lineage: Eukaryota; Metazoa; Chordata; Aves; Apterygiformes; Apterygidae
Source: Ensembl
CAGCCACCACAGUAACCCUCAUCCACUGCCAUGUCUCAGGCAGCAGGUCAGUACAUCAACUCUGAGCUCUAUGGAUGGAAAAACUGAGGCAUGACACCCUCAUUCUCCCCCAUGCCCAGAAUUUUGAGUGCCCAAUCUCAGAAACCUGCUUGAUGAUUUUGCAGAGGGGUGCACUCCUCUUGGGCCAAGUCCAGUACCUCUGCCAAAACAGCCUUUCUUUGACCAGUCUCCCAAAAGUGAGGGGAUCUCCUUGUUUUUGAAAGGCUGCCCAGGGUGACUUCCCAGUGUGAGACCUCAGACCAGCAGUCAUGCAGACUUGGACCUGGCCACCUGGCAGUACAGGUGCUGCCAGCUACAGCUGAAGCAUAAGGCACUUUUUUCUCGCCAGCGUCCUCACAGCUGGCUCACUGCCAUCCUCCAAAGCCCACAUCAUCGAUCACUGAAGGAAGGUGUUUGUCAAAUAAUAUGCUUUUCCCACAAAAAAAGGCUCUAGGUGACCUUACUAAGGCAUCACUGUUCAGUGCAGGGCAUUUGCAACUUCACAGUGCUUGUCCCUCUAGCCUCACAACAUGUGAAGCACAGUCCCGGGUGGACCUGUUUGUGGAGGCAAGGUGCUGCUCCAGCCCCUCUACAGGACUGCCUCAGCAAGGGCAGAGCUGGCAGCCGACACGGGGCAGAGCAAGGCCGGGGUGAGCGCAGGGAGGAUGGCAUCCCCUUACUCUUCAGGUACUGGAUCAGCUCGCUCCUGAACUCGUCACUGUGAGUGAUGUCAGCAUAGGACAGGAGGCCGGUUCCUGAGAAGCCUGGUGGUCCUGGAGGGCCAGGAGGGCCAGGUGGGCCCUGGACUCCGGAGAGGGAGGAGUAUCCCACACCUUGGGAGAGGAAGACAGGAAGAAUGAUCUUCUGACAGUGAGAGGACAUGGAAAUAGCACAUGUCUGGGAAUCCUGAGAGUUUAAAGGGUCUGGCCCCAAAUUCCAGCCCUUUCCAGCUGAUGUCGACGAGAUCUUUUUUUUUUAAGCGACUCUGUUCCCACUGGGCAGUCACAUCUCCUGAGAAGCUAAUAGCCUCCCUGACACCUACAAACUUCACUUUCUUGGCAAGCUCGCACCCUCCCCACGGGCUACAAGAAACACGAGUGCCUCACUUUGCAGCAUCCUCUAGCGCAGCCUUCCUGGUGCACCUCGCUACCCUGCAGGGAGAUGUUGCAUGAGGAAGCCAGAGGACUCCAAAAAGGGUAGAAGUACGUUUUUUCUUUUAAAAACUGGCAUCAGAAGCUCCUUUAUGCUGCGCAGUUUGAGGGAGACAAAGGGCUCCUCCACCCGCAAGAGAGCACCUCAUUGCUGCCAUUCUCUGCAGGAGCACGGGAAGCUGUCUGCAGCCACGGGCGGCCUGUGCAGGCCUUGGGCAGAGCCCCAGGAGUCCUGCAGUGCCAAUAACCAAGACAGAGGGGACCAGCGGAGUCUCAUAGAGGGUUAGGUGUGAUUACAGGCAAAAGGGAAGAUUCUACACUUUUACAGCUGAGUUGCUCGCAGACAAGAGCUGGGGACAGGGAAUAUCACUGCAAUGCCUUCGCUUAU